GACGAACGCUGGCGGCGUGCUUAACACAUGCAGGUCGAACGGAAAGGCCCUGCUUUUGUGGGGUGCUCGAGUGGCGAACGGGUGAGUAACACGUGAGUAACCUGCCCUUGACUUUGGGAUAACUUCAGGAAACUGGGGCUAAUACCGGAUAGGAGCUCCUGCUGCAUGGUGGGGGUUGGAAAGUUUCGGCGGUUGGGGAUGGACUCGCGGCUUAUCAGCUUGUUGGUGGGGUAGUGGCUUACCAAGGCUUUGACGGGUAGCCGGCCUGAGAGGGUGACCGGCCACAUUGGGACUGAGAUACGGCCCAGACUCCUACGGUAGGCAGCAGUGGGGAAUAUUGCACAAUGGGCGGAAGCCUGAUGCAGCAACGCCGCGUGCGGGAUGACGGCCUUCGGGUUGUAAACCGCUUUCGCCUGUGACGAAGCGUGAGUGACGGUAAUGGGUAAAGAAGCACCGGCUAACUACGUG
Molecule: ribosomal RNA, 468 nt
Filed under: uncultured bacterium
Lineage: Bacteria
Description: partial 16S ribosomal RNA
Rfam family: Bacterial small subunit ribosomal RNA
Source: RNAcentral